Molecule: ribosomal RNA, 1486 nt
Filed under: Parabacteroides distasonis
Lineage: Bacteria; Pseudomonadati; Bacteroidota; Bacteroidia; Bacteroidales; Tannerellaceae
Description: bacterial SSU rRNA
Rfam family: Bacterial small subunit ribosomal RNA
Source: RNAcentral
UCAGAGUUUGAUCAUGGCUCAGGAUGAACGCUAGCGACAGGCUUAACACAUGCAAGUCGAGGGGCAGCGGGGGGUAGCAAUACCCGCCGGCGACGGGCGCACGGGUGAGUAACGCGUAUGCAACUUACCUAUCAGAGGGGGAUAACCCGGCGAAAGUCGGACUAAUACCGCAUGAAGCAGGGGCCCCGCAUGGGGAUAUUUGCUAAAGAUUCAUCGCUGAUAGAUAGGCAUGCGUUCCAUUAGGCAGUUGGCGGGGUAACGGCCCACCAAACCGACGAUGGAUAGGGGUUCUGAGAGGAAGGUCCCCCACAUUGGUACUGAGACACGGACCAAACUCCUACGGGAGGCAGCAGUGAGGAAUAUUGGUCAAUGGGCGUAAGCCUGAACCAGCCAAGUCGCGUGAGGGAUGAAGGUUCUAUGGAUCGUAAACCUCUUUUAUGAGGGAAUAAAGUGCGGGACGUGUCCCGUUUUGUAUGUACCUUAUGAAUAGGUAUCGGCUAACUCCGUGCCAGCAGCCGCGGUAAUACGGAGGAUCCGAGCGUUAUCCGGAUUUAUUGGGUUUAAAGGGUGCGUAGGCGGCCUUUUAAGUCAGCGGUGAAAGUCUGUGGCUCAACCAUAGAAUUGCCGUUGAAACUGGGAGGCUUGAGUAUGUUUGAGGCAGGCGGAAUGCGUGGUGUAGCGGUGAAAUGCUUAGAUAUCACGCAGAACCCCGAUUGCGAAGGCAGCCUGCCAAGCCAUGACUGACGCUGAUGCACGAAAGCGUGGGGAUCAAACAGGAUUAGAUACCCUGGUAGUCCACGCAGUAAUCGAUGAUCACUAGCUGUUUGCGAUACACUGUAAGCGGCACAGCGAAAGCGUUAAGUGAUCCACCUGGGGAGUACGCCGAGCUACGGUGAAACUCAAAGGAAUUGACGGGGGCCCGCACAAGCGGAGGAACAUGUGGUUUAAUUCGAUGAUACGCGAGGAACCUUACCCGGGUUUGAACGCAUUUCGACCGCUCUGGAAACACAUUUUCUAGCAAUAGCCGUUUGCGAGGUGCUGCAUGGUUGUCGUCAGCUCGUGCCGUGAGGUGUCGGCUUAAGUGCCAUAACGAGCGCAACCCUUGCCACUAGUUACUAACAGGUGAUGCUGAGGACUCUGGUGGGACUGCCAGCGUAAGCUGCGAGGAAGGCGGGGAUGACGUCAAAUCAGCACGGCCCUUACAUCCGGGGCGACACACGUGUUACAAUGGCGUGGACAAAGGGAAGCCACCUGGCGACAGGGAGCGAAUCCCCAAACCACGUCUCAGUUCGGAUCGGAGUCUGCAACCCGACUCCGUGAAGCUGGAUUCGCUAGUAAUCGCGCAUCAGCCAUGGCGCGGUGAAAUACGUUCCCGGGCCUUGUACACACCGCCCGUCAAGCCAUGGGAGCCGGGGGUACCUGAAGUCCGUAACCCGCAAAGGAUCGGCCUAGGGUAAAAUUGGUGAAUUGGGGGUAAUGUCGUUAA